RNAcentral lists this transfer RNA (65 nucleotides) under Dipodomys ordii (Ord's kangaroo rat). It matches the Rfam family "tRNA". From Rfam's summary of the family: Transfer RNA (tRNA) molecules are approximately 80 nucleotides in length. The record is from Rfam by way of RNAcentral. Lineage: Eukaryota; Metazoa; Chordata; Mammalia; Rodentia; Heteromyidae.
GGUGGCUCAGUGGUAGAGCACCUGCCUUGCAUGCAUGAGGCCCUGGGUUCAAUUCCUCAGCACCA